This is an RNA transcript of Folsomia candida, 2276 nucleotides long. RefSeq lists it as uncharacterized. NCBI's taxonomy places the organism in Eukaryota, Metazoa, Arthropoda, Collembola, Entomobryomorpha, Isotomidae. The record is from RefSeq and is a predicted model, not a curated record. The transcript has 9 exons.
AAAAUCUGUCAGUCAUACGUACGCUCACUCUCAACAAUCAAAGUAAUUUUCCACCUUUUAUUUGAAACCUCGAAAAGGAAAUUCUUGUGUUAUUUUUGGCGUGUAAGAAGCAUACCCUACCAGUACUAUUUUGUAGCUUGUUUAAGGAUCCAGGGUCAAUCCCCAACUAUCCCCUUUGAGUACAAUCAGGUCUGAACGGGCCCAAAAACGCUGACCUCAAGUAAAGACUUGCGUCAUAUUCCUGUCCUUUGGAGGAUCCCUUUGGGAGUUUGUUUGGCGACCAUCUGGACUACUCACAUCUACGUACUUAAAGUCGUGUAAGGCCAUAUCAUUGUUACGAAGGCUUGCUUUAACUCCCACUUGGUCAGGCCCACUCUCGUACAUACCUGGUAUUAAAAGCGAAUAUCUACAAAGGCAGUUUCGUUUCCGUAAAGGCUAUCUCACUCCUUUUAGUAGAAAAAGUCAGUUUGGAUUCCGGAUUUGUGCAGUAAGAGUAAAGUUGUCUCGCCACGUCGAAAUUCCUUUAAAACGUGUCGCGUCCUCGGAGAACUUCCUGUGUAGCCAACCCAGUAGCUCCUCCAAUCUGCUGCCCUUAUUGGACUUGGAAAUUUAGUUUAGUGUGAUCGUUGCGAGGGAGGCCAUGAUGUGGGACCUCGUUCACGGACCCGAUAAAUAUUCUUGCACGAAUUAUAUUACGAUGUACUAGUUGUUUUUUUAAAUUUCAACGCCAAAGUCAACACUUCAAUUUUUCGAAAUAUCGAAAGUUUGGGGCCGUUCAUAAAUAAUGUGAGGCAAAAAUCGUGAUUUUUUACCCUCCAUCCCUCUUUAACAUGUGUCACAUAGGAAUGCUGUCACAUUGGAACCUUUCCCCCCACUUUCGCCUAACAUAAUUUAUGAAUGGCCCAUUUUCGAAAAUUUCGAAACUUCAAAAAAUUGAAUUUAAUAGCAGAUAUGAUAGAGCAAGUAUUUAGGAUCAAAUUAAUAUAUAAAAUACGAAAAUCGAAUCAGAAAUGGAUUUUUGGUGAUUUUUUUUAAACAACGGAAAACAGAGUAUAACCUGUUUUUGCUCAUAUCAGGGGGUGUAACGAGGGUAAUUUGCCUCAUAGGGUCAAGCCCUUCGAGGCUCAUAACUCACGACCCUAUGGCCACCACAUAUCCAAACGGCAUCAAAAUCGGAUAUGUGCACAGGGAAAACCAUCGUCUUGAACGUUUUACAUGAUUUCUAAAUUGGGUCUAAAAUGACGCCUCGACCGGACCGCAGGGUGCGAAGGUCAUUUCUGUAUAAAUCUUUUUUCCGAGUUUCUGAAAAAUAAACCCCCCAUAGAUGACCCGUGCCACACGUAAAAAAAAAUUCUGAAAAUUCAUAAUACACAAUUUCGAAAUACCAAAUUCAUGAUCGAAGUUAAGUACCCACUUAAACGAAACGAGGGAAAAAUUUCCAAAGUCUGCUUUUUUUUAUUGGAUUGUACCCCAUUGUUCAUCUUUCAAUCCACAAAAGCUUCUACAGAUGGAUCCGUGAGUGCUUCUAGCUUUUAUUAAUCACAUAAUUAAAUGAGUAACUUAAUGAUAGUUUCAUGAGCAAUUAAUAUAUGUACAUACAUAUUUGACAAAUUAGAUAAUGGGGCAUCUCGUCGGGGGAUUUGCGUGGUUCAACCACGCAAUUUUUUUAGGCUUGAAAAUAUAUGCAAGCUAGCGUUCAUUCUGUAAAUGUAAUUUCUGUCUCAAUGUCUCAAAGUCCCCAGUCUGUAUCCUCGUUCCUUAUAAUAUGGUAUCAUUUUACAAUAUAUGAAUAUGUAUUAAGUGCUGUCGCCGUGAAUACUUUUAUUGAUUUAUGUAACUAAUGAUUUAAUUUUAACUGGUAAUUUUAAGGUUUUAAAUGUAUGUAUGCAAAUCUAUGAUUUUAAGAUAUUUGGUACAUAUGGGCGAUCACAUUGGUUAUGAAACAUUGUAUGUAUACGAAUUCUUAUAUAGGUAUAUGUAUUUAUAUUGGUUGAAAAACACUUGGGUGACUAAAGCAUGGCAAAGUCGUAUGUCAAACCUGUGACACUGUUUUAGCCAGUGAAUGUGAGAUGUGGCAUUAAUUAAGUGGAUUUUUUAGCCAGGAAAAAGAAGACAAUUUAGACCCAUUCGAGCCGAGGAAAUUUACGUUCGAAUAAAGUAGUCGGCUUUACAACAUUCUUCCAUAUUUUAUAAUAGUCAAUGGCUCAUCUUAAUGUUGAUAUAUAAGUUAAUCUAAAAGUAAUCGCCAUGUUAUAAAAUAAAGCUACGUUUUGUGU